CAAUGAGUGUUCAAUGGCACUUAAAAAUCCAUUACCCACCUUGUGUGCAAUGUAAGGAGGAGACAGGAAGGAGCGGUCAAACGUUUCUCUCUCUGUCGCUUUCAUCAUACAUAUACUAUCUUCAUUUUUCGUCUACUUUUGUACGAGUAUAAUAACUCUAAUA
This 163-nucleotide unclassified non-coding RNA is filed under the name uncultured Mortierellomycotina. RNAcentral describes it as "sequence contains ITS1". Lineage: Eukaryota; Fungi; Mortierellomycota. The record is from RNAcentral.